Long non-coding RNA from Telopea speciosissima, 153 nucleotides. RefSeq lists it as uncharacterized. The transcript is spliced from 3 exons. The record is from RefSeq and is a predicted model, not a curated record. NCBI's taxonomy places the organism in Eukaryota, Viridiplantae, Streptophyta, Magnoliopsida, Proteales, Proteaceae.
UUAAAGAAUCAUCAAUGCAGUUCUCUUAUAACUGUGCAGAUUGGAAAAUAUGCAUAUAUGUGACGAUAACAAGAAAACAAUAAAUGUAAAAGGCCCAAAAUAUAAAGACUCAAGAAUGUGGUAUUAACAGAUCUCCAUGUAUCUACACUGAGA